UACUGUUCUUAUUAGAGUGACGAACAUGUUGUUAUAUUCCCAAACAGAAAAAUUGGGAUCACCUGAUGUGAAAGUGGGAUAACUGAUUCAUCCUAACUCCUCUUAUGAGAUUUAUUCAACUUCAUGGUGAUUCUCCACUACUUUAUGUAUCUAAAUACAGCUUCUCACAUCGCGAUUCCACCUGAUCUAAUUAGAAUGACAAAGAAGUUGUCAUAUUCCCAAACAGGAAAACUGGGAUCACCUGAUUUGAAAGUGGUAAAACUUCUUCUACUUAACUCCUAUGAGAAUUAUUCAACUUUCUGGUGAUUCUCCACUACACUAUGUAUCCAAAUACAUCUUCUCACAUCGCAAUUCAUCCUUGUCUGAUUAGAAAGACAAAGAAGUUAUCAUAUUCACAAACAGGAAAACUAGGAUCACUUGAUUUGAAAGUGAGAUAACUUCUUCAUCCUAACUCCUAUGAGAUUUAUUCAACUUCCUAGUGAUUCUCCACUACUUUAUGUAUUCAAAUCAAGCAUCUUACCUCGCGAUUCAUACUGUUCUUAUUAGAGUGACGAACAUGUUGUUAUAUUCCCAAACAGAAAAAUUGGGAUCACCUGAUGUGAAAGUGGGAUAACUGAUUCAUCCUAACUCCUCUUAUGAGAUUUAUUCAACUUCAUGGUGAUUCUCCACUACUUUAUGUAUCUAAAUACAGCUUCUCACAUCGCGAUUCCACCUGAUCUAAUUAGAAUGACAAAGAAGUUGUCAUAUUCCCAAACAGGAAAACUGGGUUCACCUGAUUUGAAAGUGGGAUAAUUUUUUCAUCGUAACUCAUAUGAGAUAUCUUAAUCUUCUUGGUGAUU
Long non-coding RNA from Brassica rapa (field mustard), 839 nucleotides. RefSeq lists it as uncharacterized. NCBI's taxonomy places the organism in Eukaryota, Viridiplantae, Streptophyta, Magnoliopsida, Brassicales, Brassicaceae. The record is from RefSeq and is a predicted model, not a curated record.